RNAcentral lists this ribosomal RNA (680 nucleotides) under uncultured Pseudomonadota bacterium. Its description in RNAcentral is "bacterial SSU rRNA". It matches the Rfam family "Bacterial small subunit ribosomal RNA", at positions 35 to 760 of the family's 1533-position model. Lineage: Bacteria; Pseudomonadati; Pseudomonadota. The record is from RNAcentral.
GCUGGCGGCACGCCUAACACAUGCAAGUCGAACGAAGUAGCAAUACUUAGUGGCAGACGGGUGAGUAACAUGUGGGUAUCUGCCCUUUGGCCUGGAAUAACACGAGGAAACUUGUGCUAAUACCGGAUAAGUCUUUACAGAGAAAGCUUUAUGCACCAUUGGAUGAGCCCGCACUUGAUUAGUUUGUUGGUGGGGUAAUGGCCUACCAAGACUGUGAUCAAUAGCUGAUUUGAGAGGAUGAUCAGCCACAUUGGGACUGAGACACGGCCCAAACUCCUACGGGAGGCAGCAGUGGGGAAUCUUGCACAAUGGAGGAAACUCUGAUGCAGCGAUGCCGCGUGAGUGAAGAAGGCCCUUGGGUUGUAAAGCUCUUUCGUCGGGGAAGAAAAUGACUGUACCCGAAUAAGAAGGUCCGGCUAACUUCGUGCCAGCAGCCGCGGUAAUACGAAGGGACCUAGCGUAGUUCGGAAUUACUGGGCUUAAAGAGUUCGUAGGUGGUUGAAAAAGUUAGUGGUGAAAUCCCAGAGCUUAACUCUGGAACUGCCAUUAAAACUUUUCAGCUAGAGUAUGAUAGAGGAAAGCAGAAUUUCUAGUGUAGAGGUGAAAUUCGUAGAUAUUAGAAAGAAUACCAAUUGCGAAGGCAGCUUUCUGGAUCAUUACUGACACUGAGGAACGAAAGC